Molecule: unclassified non-coding RNA, 216 nt
Filed under: Cladosporium cladosporioides
Lineage: Eukaryota; Fungi; Ascomycota; Dothideomycetes; Cladosporiales; Cladosporiaceae
Description: sequence contains 18S rRNA gene, ITS1, 5.8S rRNA gene, ITS2 and 28S rRNA gene
Source: RNAcentral
AGGAAAUUUGUGCUUCCCCACCAAGAUGCAGAGGUCGUCCUGUAGAAAUGGAAGUUGUUGUGGAGCGGAGCCUCCCGGACGCCCUUUAGCAAAUAGUUGUCCACAACCCUUAGGGGACAGAGAACCCAGCCGGACGAUUUGAGGCACGCGGCGACACCCCGUUGCCCAAUACCGAGCGAGGCUUGAGUGGAGAAAGUGACGUCUCGAAGGCGCGUG